UUGCAGUUAAAAAGCUCGUAGUCGGAUUUCAGUAUUAGGCCCUUCUUCCAAUACGGUUGCUAGUGGUCUUUACUUCCUUAACAGAAUCUUUCAUCUCAUUAAUUUGGGGUGUUUGGGGCCUGUUUCUUUUACUUUGAGAAAAUUAGAGUGUUCAAAGCGGGUUUUCGCCUGAUAUUACUCUUGGAAUAAUAAUAUAGGACUUUGGUUCUUUUUUGUUGGUGACUUAGAACCGAAGUAAUGAUUGAUAGGGACAGUUGGGGUCAUUCGUACUAUGAAGCGAGAGGUGAAAUUCAUGGACCUUUGUAUGACGAACUACUGCGAAAGCAUUUGACUAGGAUGUUCCCGUUGAUCAAGAACGAAAGUUGGGGGAUCGAAGA
Molecule: ribosomal RNA, 377 nt
Filed under: uncultured marine eukaryote
Lineage: Eukaryota
Description: SSU rRNA
Rfam family: Eukaryotic small subunit ribosomal RNA
Source: RNAcentral